ACGUAGGUGGCAAGCGUUGUCCGGAUUUACUGGGCGUAAAGAGCGCGCAGGCGGUCGGAUAAGUCGAAUGUGAAAGCCCCUGGCUCAACCAGGGAGGGUCAUUCGAUACUGUUCGACUCGAAGGCAGGAGAGGGAAGUGGAAUUCCGGGUGUAGUGGUGAAAUGCGUAGAUAUCCGGAGGAACACCAGUGGCGAAGGCGACCUUCUGGCCUGUUCUUGACGCUGAGGCGCGAAAGCUAGGGGAGCAAACGGGA
This 253-nucleotide ribosomal RNA is filed under the name uncultured prokaryote. RNAcentral describes it as "partial 16S ribosomal RNA". It matches the Rfam family "Bacterial small subunit ribosomal RNA", at positions 525 to 777 of the family's 1533-position model. The record is from RNAcentral.